AGGUAUCAAAGAAACCUCAUAGAGUGAGAAUUGGACAGUGCGGUGUCUUUGUGGAGUGUUUGGUGGGUGACUUCAACUUUCUAUUUCCACUUGUGGCAUUUGAAAUUGCUGUCAAGUUCACUGUCUGGAUAUGUGUCUGCCAGAAAGGCCUCCCAUUUUUUGAUGUGAAGAUUUUUGCUAGGUAUAGAAUCUACCAUGUCCAUUGGGAGUUUGUUCCAGUGGUUGACCACCAUCACUGUUAAAAAGUGAGGUACUUAUACAUGGUAAUCAAGAAUCCUCCCAUGAUGCAACAUCACCAGGGCUUGAACCUUCAGGAUUGGAACAAAGACUGCUACCAUUUCAGCUACCUUGAGUCAUUCCUUCCUGCAACCUCAUCAAUGUUUUGCUACUCUAUGACUCCCCUCCAGUUUUUCAAUAUCUUACAAAUGAUGUGUAGCCAGAACAUAACAUAAUGCUGUAAUGUUUGGUAGGCAUCAUCCUACCAAAGCCAUAUUAAGAGGAACUGUGCAGGACAUGAUUCUUUACCCUAAAUAUCUCUAAAUCACAUUGGCUUCAUAUUUAUGUGCUGCUGUAUCAUGUUCCAUACAGAAUUCGUGAAAAAUGGCAACGACUUUUCAUGACAAAAUUUUAAAAAAGAAAAAAAAAGAAAUAAGCUUUAUUUCACAGGUAUCCAAAAGGAGAAGUUUGUCACUUAUAUGAAGCUGUUCUUGAAACUUCCAUAUUUUAAUUGCUGUGGGGUUUUUGUGUGUGUGUGUUUUCCCUUUUUUUCCACUUUGCCUUUUUGGGGAAGAGAAGGCAAUAUUGAAAAGAAGGAAAACUUGUGGGGGGGGGAAUGAAGAGUUUUAUGAAAACUGCCAUUUUUGAAAACAGGCAAUUUUUAAUGCAAUAUUUUUCAUUUGAAAAAUUCCAACCACCUUUACUUUCUAACUUGUGUCUAAUCUGUUGUCCACUACAACCCCUAGGUUUGUUCAUCAUUUCUUUCUUCGAGUGAAUAUCUGUGUGUUUUCCCCAGAUAUAUUAUUUUAAACUUUCCCCAUGAUGAAUAGCUGGAAUCCUAGGGUGAAA
Long non-coding RNA from Mauremys mutica (yellowpond turtle), 1065 nucleotides. RefSeq lists it as uncharacterized. Lineage: Eukaryota; Metazoa; Chordata; Testudines; Geoemydidae. The transcript has 3 exons. The record is from RefSeq and is a predicted model, not a curated record.